Molecule: transfer RNA, 989 nt
Filed under: Bradyrhizobium sp.
Lineage: Bacteria; Pseudomonadati; Pseudomonadota; Alphaproteobacteria; Hyphomicrobiales; Nitrobacteraceae
Description: partial 16S-23S ribosomal RNA intergenic spacer
Rfam family: tRNA (bases 200-273)
Source: RNAcentral
CGCUUCUAUCGAGCUGUUUUAGAAACAUUCAGGGGCCAUCAUUGAUCGCCAGAUCGAGAUGAGCUCCAUUGGCGGGAUUUCGCCGUCUUCGUUUCUCUUUCUUCGCGGACGAACACGCUGCCUGCGGGCCUGGCGCUGUGCAACAAUCCAGCGCUCAAGGCGCAGGAGCGGGUGCAGACAGGCUCCUUGCAAGCGUUAGGGGCUUGUAGCUCAGUUGGUUAGAGCGCGCGCUUGAUAAGCGUGAGGUCGGAAGUUCAAGUCUUCCCAGGCCCACCAGCCUUCGCGCCUUGCGGCGCUUCGGCUCGGCAAGCCAGGAGACGCGCGAAGGCUGUCGCGCCGUAGCCCCUGCGGGGCGAAGGCGGACCGGUCGACGUGAACUUCGGCUUAAGACCAGAGCAUCGGCCACGCCAAUCGUCUCGACGAUUUCUGCUUCGCAUUCGUCUUUCCGGUUAUGGGGCCUUAGCUCAGCUGGGAGAGCGCGUGCUUUGCAAGCAUGAGGUCGUCGGUUCGAUCCCGACAGGCUCCACCAGCCUUCGCGCCUUCGGCGCUUCGGCUGGGCAGGCCAGCCGAUCGAGCCCGACAGGCUCGGCUCAGGAAGGUCGGAGAUGCGCGAAGGCUGCCGCGCCGAAGCUCGCAAGAGCGUAGGCGGGCUGUGCGCCAAGCCAACCAUAUUUCGUCCGCGAAACAUCGCUUUGCAGCCGUGCUCACUGAGCAUGCGCUGCGGGUUAUCUGACAUCGUGAAGAGGAGAUCGAUCCGAGUUGGGGUCGUGCAAUGAGGCGUCACCGCGCAAGCGGUCCGCGUCUCGACUUUGCACCGACGCCUUCAUUAUCUCCGGGUCAUUUCGGCGCGGGCCUUGCUGCUGUGAAGCAGGUUGGCCUGUUGUAAAUGACCCCUUUGAGCNAAGCUUGACCGCCUCGCUCUCGGUUCGAUCUUACGAAGCAAGCUGGGUCUUUUCUAAUCAAUGUCCGGGCGGCUGGGUUCUUGCAUC